AGAAGACUCCAGUACAAACAACACACACCAUGUUCUCUACAUCUCUACUGCUCCUGCUGGCAGCUGCUUCUUAUGUACAUGGUGAGGAACUGACUCAGCCUGCUUCCAUGACAGUCCAGCCAGGCCAGAGUCUCUCCAUCCACUGCAAGGUUUCAUAUUCAGUUACGGGCUAUCAUACAGCUUGGAUCCGACAACCUGCAGGAAAAGCUCUGGAGUGGGUCUCACUUAUGCAUUAUAGUGGUAACACUUACUACAGUGAGAAACUGAAAAGCAGGUUUCAGGUUUCCAGAGACACGUCCAGCAACACAGUGACAUUAACAGGGCAGAACAUGCAGACUGAAGACACAGCUGUGUAUUACUGCGCU
Molecule: non-coding RNA, 365 nt
Organism: Hemibagrus wyckioides
Lineage: Eukaryota; Metazoa; Chordata; Actinopteri; Siluriformes; Bagridae
Source: the annotation of a RefSeq genome assembly